CUUGGCUACACUGGGGAGGGAUCCACAUUCAGUGUCACUCUUGGCUACACUGGGGAGGGGGGUCCGCACUCAGUGUCACUCUUGGCUACACUGGGGAGGGAUCCACACUCAGUGUCACUCUUGGCUACACUGGGGAGGGAUCCACACUCAGUGUCACUCUUGGCUACACUGGGGAGGGGGGUCCGCACUCAGUGUCACUCUUGGCUACACUGGGGAGGGAUCCACACUCAGUGUCACUCUUGGCUACACUGGGGAGGGAUCCACACUCAGUGUCACUCUUGGCUACACUGGGGAGGGGGGGUCCGCACUCAGUGUCACUCUUGGCUACACUGGGGGGGGAUCCACACUCAGUGUCACUCUUGGCUACACUGGGGAGGGGGCCACACUCAGUGUCACUCUUGGCUACACUGGGGAAGGAUCCACACUCAGUGUCACUCUUGGCGACACUGGGGAGGGGGGUCCACACUCGGUGUCACUCUUGGCGACACUGGGGAGGGGGGUCCACACUCAGUGUCACUCUUAGCUACCCUGGGGAGAGGGGUCCACACUCAGUGUCACUCUUGGCGACACUGGGGAGAGGGGUCCACACUCAGUGUCACUCUUGGCUACACUGGGGAGAGGGAUCUACACUCAGUGUCACUCUUGGCUACACUGGGGAAGGGGCCACACUCAGUGUCACUCUUGGCUACACUGGGGAGGGAUCUACACUCAGUGUCACUCUUGGCUACACUGGGGAAGGGGCCACACUCAGUGUCACUCUUGGCUACACUGGGGGGGGGAUCCACACUCGGUGUCACUCUUGGCUACCCUGGGGAGGGGUCACACUCGGUGUCACUCUUGGCUACACUGGAGAAGGGGUCACACUCAGUGUCACUCUUGGCUACACUGGGGAGGGGGGUCCACACUCGGUGUCACUCUUGGCUACACUGGGGAGGGAUCCACACUCAGUGUCACUCUUGGCUACACUGGGGAGGGGGGUCCACACUCGGUGUCACUCUUGGCUACACUGGGGAGGGGGGUCCACACUCGGUGUCACUCUUGGCUACACUGGGGAGGGGGGUCCACACUCGGUGUCACUCUUGGCGACACUGGGGAGGGGGGUCCACACUCGGUGUCACUCUUAGCUACCCUGGGGAGAGGGGUCCACACUCAGUGUCACUCUUGGCCACACUGGGGAGGGGGGUCCACACUCGGUGUCACUCUUGGCGACACUGGGGAAGGGGGUCCACACUCAGUGUCACUCUUGGCUACACUGGGGAGAGGGAUCUACACUCAGUGUCACUCUUGGCUACACUGGGGAAGGGGCCACACUCAGUGUCACUCUUGGCUACACUGGGGAGGGAUCUACACUCAGUGUCACUCUUGGCUACACUGGGGAAGGGGCCACACUCAGUGUCACUCUUGGCUACACUGGGGGGGGGAUCCACACUCGGUGUCACUCUUGGCUACCCUGGGGAGGGGUCACACUCGGUGUCACUCUUGGCUACACUGGAGAAGGGGUCACACUCAGUGUCACUCUUGG
RNAcentral lists this long non-coding RNA (1522 nucleotides) under Cricetulus griseus (Chinese hamster). RNAcentral describes it as "lncRNA (ENSCGRG00015033840.1)". The record is from RNAcentral. Lineage: Eukaryota; Metazoa; Chordata; Mammalia; Rodentia; Cricetidae.